Non-coding RNA from Dallia pectoralis (Alaska blackfish), 75 nucleotides. NCBI's taxonomy places the organism in Eukaryota, Metazoa, Chordata, Actinopteri, Esociformes, Umbridae. The record is from the annotation of a GenBank genome assembly.
CAGUUGGUAGCUCAGUGGUAGAGUGCAUGCUUUGUGUGUAUGAAGUCCUGGGUUCGAAUCGGCCUACCUGGUUAA